UACGUAGGGUGCGAGCGUUGUCCGGAAUUACUGGGCGUAAAGAGCUCGUAGGUGGUUUGUCGCGUUGUUCGUGAAAACUCACAGCUUAACUGUGGGCGUGCGGGCGAUACGGGCAGACUGGAGUACUGCAGGGGAGACUGGAACUCCUGGUGUAGCGGUGGAAUGCGCAGAUAUCAGGAGGAACACCGGUGGCGAAGGCGGGUCUCUGGGCAGUAACUGACGCUGAGGAGCGAAAGCGUGGGGAGCGAACAGG
This 253-nucleotide ribosomal RNA is filed under the name uncultured bacterium. RNAcentral describes it as "partial 16S ribosomal RNA". It matches the Rfam family "Bacterial small subunit ribosomal RNA", at positions 524 to 776 of the family's 1533-position model. The record is from RNAcentral.